AAUAUUCCAAUACCAACAUUAGUGUGCGAUGGAAGGACGCUUAGGGCUAAGGGGGCUAGCGGAUGGAAGUGCUAGUCUAAGGUCGUAGGUGCUUAUACAGGCAAAUCCGUAUAAGAAUACACCGAGAACUGAAAGGCUUUUUGAAGUCUUCGGAUGGAUAGAAGAACCCCUGAUGCCGUCGAGCCAAGAAAAGUUUCUAAGUUUAGCUAAUGUUGCCCGUACCGUAAACCGACACAGGUGGGUGGGAUGAGUAUUCUAAGGCGCGUGGAAGAACUCUCUUUAAGGAACUCUGCAAAAUAGCACCGUAUCUUCGGUAUAAGGUGUGGUUCGCUUCGUAUUAGGAUUUACUCCGAAAGCGAAGAAACUUACAACAAAGAGUCCCUCCCGACUGUUUACCAAAAACACAGCACUCUGCUAACUCGUAAGAGGAUGUAUAGGGUGUGACGCCUGCCCGGUGCUCGAAGGUUAAUUGAUGGGGUUAGCAUUAGCGAAGCUCUUGAUCGAAGCCCGAGUAAACGGCGGCCGUAACUAUAACGGUCCUAAGGUAGCGAAAUUCCUUGUCGGUUAAAUACCGACCUGCAUGAAUGGCGUAACGAGAUGGGAGCUGUCUCAAAGAGGGAUCCAGUGAAAUUGUAGUGGAGGUGAAAAUUCCUCCUACCCGCGGCAAGACGGAAAGACCCCGUGGACCUUUACUACAGCUUGACACUGCUACUUGGAUAAGAAUGUGCAGGAUAGGUGGGAGGCUUUGAGUAUAUGACGCCAGUUGUAUAUGAGCCAUUGUUGAGAUACCACUCUUUCUUAUUUGGGUAGCUAACCAGCUUGAGUUAUCCUCAAGUGGGACAAUGUCUGGUGGGUAGUUUGACUGGGGCGGUCGCCUCCCAAAUAAUAACGGAGGCUUACAAAGGUUGGCUCAGAACGGUUGGAAAUCGUUCGUAGAGUAUAAAGGUAUAAGCCAGCUUAACUGCAAGACAUACAAGUCAAGCAGAGACGAAAGUCGGUCUUAGUGAUCCGGUGGUUCUGUGUGGAAGGGCCAUCGCUCAAAGGAUAAAAGGUACCCCGGGGAUAACAGGCUGAUCUCCCCCAAGAGCUCACAUCGACGGGGAGGUUUGGCACCUCGAUGUCGGCUCAUCGCAUCCUGGGGCUGGAGCAGGUCCCAAGGGUAUGGCUGUUCGCCAUUUAAAGCGGUACGCGAGCUGGGUUCAGAACGUCGUGAGACAGUUCGGUCCCUAUCUGCCGUGGGCGUAAGAAGAUUGAAGAGAUUUGACCCUAGUACGAGAGGACCGGGUUGAACAAACCACUGGUGUAGCUGUUGUUCUGCCAAGAGCAUCGCAGCGUAGCUAAGUUUGGAAAGGAUAAACGCUGAAAGCAUCUAAGCGUGAAGCCAACUCUAAGAUGAAUCUUCUCUAAGCUCUCUAGAAGACUACUAGUUUGAUAGGCUGGGUGUGUAAUGGAUGAAAGUCCUUUAGCUGACCAGUACUAAUAGAGCGUUU
This 1490-nucleotide ribosomal RNA is filed under the name Campylobacter coli. Its description in RNAcentral is "partial 23S ribosomal RNA". It matches the Rfam family "Bacterial large subunit ribosomal RNA", at positions 1432 to 2913 of the family's 2925-position model. Lineage: Bacteria; Pseudomonadati; Campylobacterota; Epsilonproteobacteria; Campylobacterales; Campylobacteraceae. The record is from RNAcentral.